The sequence is a ribosomal RNA, 284 nucleotides long. It matches the Rfam family "Eukaryotic small subunit ribosomal RNA", at positions 1551 to 1831 of the family's 1831-position model.
CUCGUGAAACUCCGUCGUGCUGGGGAUAGAGCAUUGUAAUUUUUGCUCUUCAACGAGGAAUUCCUAGUAAGCGCAAGUCAUCAACUUGCGUUGAUUACGUCCCUGCUCUUUGUACACACCGCCCGUCGCUACUACCGAUUGAAUGGCUUAGUGAGGCUUCAAGAUUGGCGCUGCGGCGGAGGCAACUCUGCCCUGGCGCCGAGAAUUUAGUCAAACUUGGUCAUUUAGAGGUCGUAAAAGUCGUAACAAGGUUUCCGUAGGUGAACCUGCGGAAGGAUCAUUAC